Long non-coding RNA from Dalotia coriaria, 1946 nucleotides. RefSeq lists it as uncharacterized. The record is from RefSeq and is a predicted model, not a curated record. Lineage: Eukaryota; Metazoa; Arthropoda; Insecta; Coleoptera; Staphylinidae. The transcript has 15 exons.
AGGAUCAUUGCCCAUGCGCAACUUGCAACGAUUUUCUCUAAUCCUUACGAAAUGAAACAUUGAAUUGCCAAAUUGUGUUAAUUUAGUUUUUGUUGUAUGCCGCCUUCUAUAGGCAAUGUAUUGUAACAUUUAAUUUCGAAAGAAGGAAACUUCGCGGUACUAGCGACAUCUGAUGUCCAAAACGUAAACGUUAAAUGUAACAACAACAGCGUGCACGUUUUAAAACUAGUUUGGUUCUGACCGCCGACAGGUAUACGAGAAUUGCACCGCACAUAACACGUUACAACAACAAUUUUGUUCUCAGUUUAUAAAAGGUCUGGAAGCUGAACAAAAAAUGAAGAAAUUUGACUAAACUUUGUCGGAGAGUCAUUCUUGCAUCAAAAUGGCUCUAGAAAAUGAACGAAAACUUGGAGGAGCGUCAUUCUUGCAUCAAAAUGGCUCUAGAAAAUGAACGAAAACUUGGAGGAGAUUCAUUCUUGCAUCAAAAUGGCUCUAGAAAAUGAACGAAAACUUGGAGGAGAGUCAUUCUUGCAUCAAAAUAAAUUGAAGAAUACCUUGCAGGAUAGUCAUUCUUAAAUCAAAAUGCACUAGAAAAUGAACGAAAACUUGGAGGAGCGUCAUUCUUGCAUCAAAAUGGCUCUAGAAAAUGAACGAAAACUUGGAGGAGAGUCAUUCUUGCAUCAAAAUGGCUCUAGAAAAUGAACGAAAACUUGGAGGAGAGUCAUUCUUGCAUCAAAAUGGCUCUAGAAAAUGAACGAAAACUUGGAGGAGAGUCAUUCUUGCAUCAAAAUGGCUCUAGAAAAUGAACGAAAACUUGGAGGAGAGUCAUUCUUGCAUCAAAAUGGCUCUAGAAAAUGAACGAAAACUUGGAGGAGAGUCAUUCUUGCAUCAAAAUGGCUCUAGAAAAUGAACGAAAUCUUGGAGGAAAGUCAUUCUUGCAUCAAAAUAAAUUGCAGGAUAGUCAAUCUUGCAUCAGAUUGUAAGUAUUUAAUUUCUUUGUCAUUUUCAUGAACAACUUCAAUAUUUAGUUCACAAAAGAGCGAAAACAAUUACAUUUUCUGUGUUUUGAAACGCUGAUUUUUGCUUAUUUUAUAAUACCAAUCAUUUUGGCUUGUUUCACUGUUAUAUAUAAUAUGGAUCGUUAUUUAGGUAUUUUUGAGCUAAUAAAACUGAGAGAGAAAAUAUUAAGACCUGAUCCUGCUAAAGGUAGAGCGAGACAGAUACACUCUAAAAUGUAUUGUGUAAUCAAUGUGAUCUAUAUGAUCCGGGGAAAUUUCAACACUUUCUUUAUGUUUUCAUUUCGUAGUGGCUUGCGCAGCACGUUGAAAUUGGAUAUAAUUUGCGCACCUACUGUUAUUACUGUUGAAUUACAGGUUUCUGUUUACUUCUAGUCAACUUGACAAUGAGCAUUUGUGUUGGAUAUUGUUUCUUUCCGUUUAGUCGGUGGUGCGAAGUGGUGAGGUGAGCACGUGUCCUCAUUUUUCGUCGGUCUUCAUCGCAACUGUUAGCGUUUCUCGAGAUUUUAUUACGGUAGAAGCAUUAGAAUCGUUUGGUCAUCGACUACUGGCUAAGUAAUUUAUGGCGAAUCGACUCUAGAUUUAAGAGACUUUACCUCGUGCGUGUGUGAAUGCCACCGGCCGUUGGAUCUCAUUCAAUUCCAAUUGGAAUUAUUGGUGAAAAUGGAUCAAUUAUUAAAUCGCGGGAAUAAAUCACAUGUUUUCCCCCCUGGUUGCCAGUGCAAAAUUAAUACAUCAAUUCUACUAGCAAUUCUAUUUCGUGCGAUUUAAAACUUGAUUGAACAUCAAAGGAGUAUGUAAGGUCUAAUAAAAAAUUACCUCUGUUCAACUGUUUUUAAAUUACAAGUAAUUAUUUCUACGGGAUUUGAAAACCGGCAAUGAUUUUUUGUUUAUAAAAUUGUAUAUAUUUUUAAAUGUUGUCAAUAAAAU